UCUUGCUUCUUCCCUCCCUUCUUCCUUCCUUCUCUUCCUUCUUCUGCCCCCCUCCCCUUUGUACAGUCCUCAGGAACCUCAGGAGGGCAUUCUGUGAUCCCCUAGCGUGAGGGAGUUCACCCCUGUGAAGUCUCUGUAAGGUGCAUCUCUGUGAGGCAGUCAGAGGCAUGUGUGGCCUGUCACCUGGACCUCCUCGCCCUGUCCCAUUUCAGGGAUCUCAGAAACUGUCAGCCGCGGUCAGAUGGGAACAAGAAUCUGACUCCACAGACAUAUAUAGCCCUCCAGCUGUGUGCCAAGAAACGCACCUAAAUCUGGGAGAGUGUAACACAGGAGAAGAAAAAACUUAUUGCCCAGGAGCCCCCGCCUAGGGAGAGAGACCGAAUUUCAUCCGAAGGUGGUGAAAUGCCGAAAUGCUACAAGGGAGAGUCUCCACGAGCCGCACGAGGAAACAAGUGGCACACCUGUAUACCCGUUUGCCAGCCCUUCCUCUUCGAAAUGCAGGCUAAGUCUGAGUUAGAAAUCAGAGCCUCCCUUGAGUUUUAUUGCUUUCAGGACUUUUACAAUUGCUUUUCUAUUGUCCCAAUAAUACAUUUACGUUUU
Molecule: long non-coding RNA, 600 nt
Organism: Diceros bicornis minor
Lineage: Eukaryota; Metazoa; Chordata; Mammalia; Perissodactyla; Rhinocerotidae
Exons: 3
Source: RefSeq, a predicted model, not a curated record